UUAUGGCUCAGGAUGAACGCUAGCUACAGGCUUAACACAUGCAAGUCGAGGGACAGCAUAUCGGAAGCUUGCUUUGAUGAUGGCGACCGGCGCACGGGUGAGUAACGCGUAUCCAACCUUCCCUAUACUAGAGGAUAGCCCGGCGAAAGUCGGAUUAAUACUCUAUGUUCUCGUAGAAGACAUCUGAAAUGAAGCAAAGGUUUACCGGUAUAGGAUGGGGAUGCGUCUGAUUAGGUUGUUGGCGGGGUAACGGCCCACCAAGCCCACGAUCAGUAGGGGUUCUGAGAGGAAGGUCCCCCACAUUGGAACUGAGACACGGUCCAAACUCCUACGGGAGGCAGCAGUGAGGAAUAUUGGUCAAUGGACGAGAGUCUGAACCAGCCAAGUAGCGUGCAGGAUGACGGCCCUAUGGGUUGUAAACUGCUUUUAUAUAGGGAUAAAGUGCAUCACGUGUGGUGUUUUGUAGGUACUAUAUGAAUAAGGACCGGCUAAUUCCGUGCCAGCAGCAGC
RNAcentral lists this ribosomal RNA (510 nucleotides) under uncultured bacterium. Its description in RNAcentral is "bacterial SSU rRNA". It matches the Rfam family "Bacterial small subunit ribosomal RNA", at positions 17 to 518 of the family's 1533-position model. The record is from RNAcentral.